Bradysia coprophila is the source of this 401-nucleotide long non-coding RNA. RefSeq lists it as uncharacterized. Lineage: Eukaryota; Metazoa; Arthropoda; Insecta; Diptera; Sciaridae. The record is from RefSeq and is a predicted model, not a curated record.
AAAUGAUACUGUACCCUAAAGUGUUAGUAUCGACUCAAUCUUCUCAACUUCCAACACGCCGAAAAUGAUAUUCAAGCUUGCCAGUUUGUGGAUUGUAGCAUUGAUUCUGAUAGUAUGUUCUAUCGGUGGUACCUGUGGUCAAACGGAGAAUGAAAAGUGUACAGCGUUAGAAGUUUCAAAUACAAAAUUUGUAUGCAAGAGCGAAUGUGGAGCUGGUGUCGAAUCACUCGUUGGAACGUGUGGCGCUGGAUAUAAGUGUUGUUUCACUGGUCACUUACAGAUCCAGUUUCAUAUUUUGUAGCCGGUUCGGGGCAAAUUCGUAGCCCAGUCAAAUAUUGAAAAUUGAAAUUGAUUGAUUUGAAAAAUUAUUAAAAGUUGGCAAGUGUUCAGUUCAGACAUGA